GAUGAAGAACGCAGCGAAAUGCGAUAAGUAGUGUGAAUUGCAGAAUUCAGUGAAUCAUCGAAUCUUUGAACGCACAUUGCGCCCGCCAGUAUUCUGGCGGGCAUGCCUGUUCGAGCGUCAUUUCAACCCUCAAGCCCAGCUUGGUGUUGGGGAUCGGCACAGGCGCCCUCGGGCGCCCGCCGUCCCCUAAAUCUAGUGGCGGUCCCGCUGCAGCCUCCUCUGCGUAGUAGUUUUCUCCUCGCAAGGGCAGCUCGGUGGCGACCUCGCCGUAAAACCCCCAACUUCUGAAAGGUUGACCUCGAAUCAGGUAGGAAUACCCGCUGAACUUAAGCAUAUCAAUAAGCGGGGA
This 349-nucleotide unclassified non-coding RNA is filed under the name soil metagenome. Its description in RNAcentral is "partial contains 5.8S ribosomal RNA, internal transcribed spacer 2, and large subunit ribosomal RNA". The stretch from base 1 to 120 matches the Rfam family "5.8S ribosomal RNA", at positions 35 to 154 of the family's 154-position model. The record is from RNAcentral.